UACGAUACGAGUUUGAUCAUGGCUCAGAAUCAACGCUGGCGGCGUGCCUCAGACAUGCAAGUCGAACGAUUAAAGCUCUCUUCGGAGAGUGUAUAGAGUGGCGCACGGGUGAGUAACACGUAAGUAAUCUACCCUCGAGUGGGGAAUAACAACCGGAAACGGUUGCUAAUACCGCAUAAUGCAGCGGCACCGCAAGGUGACAGUUGUUAAAGAUUUAUCGCUUGAGGAGGAGCUUGCGGCAGAUUAGCUAGUUGGUAGGGUAACGGCUUACCAAGGCUACGAUCUGUAACCGGUCUAAGAGGACGGUCGGUCACACUGACACUGAAUAACGGGUCAGACUCCUACGGGAGGCAGCAGUCGGGAAUUUUGGGCAAUGGGCGAAAGCCUGACCCAGCAACGCCGCGUGAAGGAUGAAGUAUUUCGGUAUGUAAACUUCGAAAGAAUAGGAAGAAUUAAUGACGGUACUAUUUAUAAGGUCCGGCUAACUACGUG
This 492-nucleotide ribosomal RNA is filed under the name uncultured bacterium. Its description in RNAcentral is "bacterial SSU rRNA". It matches the Rfam family "Bacterial small subunit ribosomal RNA", at positions 1 to 507 of the family's 1533-position model. The record is from RNAcentral.